GCCAAUGUGGCAUAGUGGUUUGUGUGCUGGACUGUGACUCUGGAGCCCAGAUUUCAAAUCUCUGCUCAGACA
Phrynosoma platyrhinos (Desert horned lizard) is the source of this 72-nucleotide non-coding RNA. The record is from the annotation of a GenBank genome assembly. Lineage: Eukaryota; Metazoa; Chordata; Lepidosauria; Squamata; Phrynosomatidae.